RNAcentral lists this long non-coding RNA (386 nucleotides) under Mytilus galloprovincialis (Mediterranean mussel). Lineage: Eukaryota; Metazoa; Mollusca; Bivalvia; Mytilida; Mytilidae. The record is from RNAcentral.
AAAUAAAAGAAACUGCAAUUAUAUAAAAUAUAUAUAUAUAACAAUGGUCAAAGUUCUUAUUUCAUUUACCUAUUUAAGUAAACACUUCUUUUACCCUGCUUACCCUUCCAGAGCACCUGAGAUCACCCCCAGUUUUUGGUGGGGUUCGUGUUUCUUAGUCUUUAUUUUUCUGUGUUGUAUUUUGUGUUCCGUUGUUUGUCUGUUUAUCUGUUUCUUUUUUAGCCAUGACUUUAUCAGUUUAUUAUUUUUUACUUAUGAGAUUUAACGUCCCUUUGGUUUUUGGCUCCCCUUUUUCUUUCUUUUUCAAGUAAAUUUAACAUGUUAUAUACAAAUUUUUGUCAUGUUGGAAGACGUCAAACCUUAUACUUGAGUGAUGGGUCAACGUA